Small nuclear RNA from Vigna unguiculata (cowpea), 118 nucleotides. RefSeq annotates it as U5 spliceosomal RNA. NCBI's taxonomy places the organism in Eukaryota, Viridiplantae, Streptophyta, Magnoliopsida, Fabales, Fabaceae. The record is from RefSeq and is a predicted model, not a curated record.
AGCCAUGAGAUAAACACAUAGCGAACUAUUCUUUCGCCUUUUACUAAAGAAUACCGUGUGUUUGUCUCAUUAAGUGGCAUACGCCUAUUUUUGGAAGAGUCCCUUCUCAUAGGACUCU